GCUAGAUAUUUAGAUAUGGAUAAAUGUAAAUAUUGUUCUUAUUGUAUAAAUUUCUCUAAAAUGUAAUAUGUAUAAAGAUGAUUGAUUAAAGAAAAACAAUAAAAUAUUUUGCCUGGUUUAAAACAAACUUAUAAAUAAACUACAAUACAACAACAGCACAAGAAAGCGAGAAAGGAAAAUGUAAGGUUGACAGGCUGUAGGUGAAGUAUUAUAAUAUUAUUUGAAUGUAGACUAUGAUAAGUUAAAUAUAUACAUUAUAUACUCUGAAUGAACAAUGAAACAGUAUUGAAAAUAAAUAGCCAACAUGGAAUUCGAAUUCCUUUUGUAGAUACAAUUUUCUAUCUGGUAUCAUUUUACUUCUGCUUGAAUAAUUUCCUUUUACAUUUUUUGCAGUGCUACAUUGCUGGUGAUAAGGCAGAGGGGAGAGUAAGAUGACAGAGUAGGACUUUCUAGUAAUUGUCCAUGCCACCCUCCCCCCACAAAAAUAUUCAUACAAAGUCCAAUUCAUACAAAAGAAAGCAGAAAAUGAGAGAAGAAUAAAGAGAUGAACGCGCAGGAGGCUUCAUCUGCAAUGCAAGGAAAUUGUGCAUGUUUCUUCCGCUGCCUUUCCAUCAAUUAGCCAUACAGUAAGAUUAAAGUAAAAUCAGAGUUUUAUGAACAGCUAUCCUUCUUCAGUAUGCAAUCUAGCUAGAGCCUGAGAUCUGAGACACUGGAUCUUGUGAACAGCCUUACUGCUCCAUUCAGACACCAUGGCCAAAUAUAUGCAUUGACACACAGAUAAAAUGGAUGGUGAAGCACCAGGGACAAAUAACAGCAGGAGAUUAGAAAAUGCAUUUAGGCCUGAAGGGACAAAGGGAGUGAAUGGUGUUGCCAGAACAAGACUUUAUUUUUGUUUUCCUAGUGCUUGUAGGAAUAUUUUAUUUAAGAUAUGUUUUAUAAUUUUUGUAAAGCAAAUUUUUAUGCUUUGCUUCAUA
Long non-coding RNA from Sapajus apella (tufted capuchin), 974 nucleotides. RefSeq lists it as uncharacterized. Lineage: Eukaryota; Metazoa; Chordata; Mammalia; Primates; Cebidae. The record is from RefSeq and is a predicted model, not a curated record. The transcript has 3 exons.